UUUGUAUUCUGUGUAUCGUGGAAAUCUGAGAAUAAAAUCAAACAGAGUUUUCUAAAGUUUCUUCAUUAACGUGGGCAUUGAAGUUGUAGGGUGAACGGGCGACUGGCAGUUCUGAGACGGUCUACGAAAUAGCAAUAUACGAUGUUUACAAUUCAAACAAAUACAGCUGGAGAAGACCCUUAUGCUUGAGCUCUUACAACCUAAUCACCAGGGUUGCUGUACGCUGAUUGAACUACCAAGCCAACUACUAUAGAAUAUUU
Styela clava is the source of this 260-nucleotide non-coding RNA. The record is from RefSeq and is a predicted model, not a curated record. NCBI's taxonomy places the organism in Eukaryota, Metazoa, Chordata, Ascidiacea, Stolidobranchia, Styelidae.